RNAcentral lists this ribosomal RNA (106 nucleotides) under Firmicutes bacterium CAG:460. RNAcentral also lists the same sequence under 1 other name. The record is from RNAcentral. Lineage: Bacteria; Bacillati; Bacillota.
AUUGGUGACGAUAGCUUAGGUGAUACACCUCUUCCCAUCCCGAACAGAGAAGUUAAGACCUAAUACGCCGAAAAUAGUGUAAUGCUAAGAUAGGUAGUCGCCAGUU